This is a long non-coding RNA of Mauremys mutica (yellowpond turtle), 291 nucleotides long. RefSeq lists it as uncharacterized. The record is from RefSeq and is a predicted model, not a curated record. Lineage: Eukaryota; Metazoa; Chordata; Testudines; Geoemydidae. The transcript is spliced from 3 exons.
GCACAUCCUUUGCCUUACCUUUGAAGUACUGUCUUGUGCUGAAACGAUUAGCAGUACUUUACGUCAUAUCACUUGACUAUUUGACAGCCAUUGUGAGUGAGCUAAAUGGGUGAUCAGUAAGUUAGGAUGUUUGCCUUAUAGCCAGAUACUAGAUGGGAACAAGAAAAAUAGCAGAAAAAGGUGUGUUGCUGCAUGUGAUAAUGCAAAGUUUCCUGGAACAUCAAGCAAAAGUGAGCAGCCAGUGAGGCAGGAAACUGUGAGGAGGAGGAAAAGUAAAUAAAAAUUAUCCAC